RNAcentral lists this signal recognition particle RNA (261 nucleotides) under Clostridia bacterium. RNAcentral describes it as "signal recognition particle sRNA large type". It matches the Rfam family "Bacterial large signal recognition particle RNA". Rfam says of the family: The signal recognition particle (SRP) is a universally conserved ribonucleoprotein involved in the co-translational targeting of proteins to membranes. The record is from RNAcentral. Lineage: Bacteria; Bacillati; Bacillota; Clostridia.
UCAUACUAUCCGGGGCGGUAGCGGUGCCCUGUACCUGAAAUCCGCUAUAUGCAGGGGAGAAUUCCCAUUUUGAGGGGUAUUCUUGUGCGGCCAGCACUUAUAAAAGAAGCGUUGACGGAUGAGUCUUGCGCAAUUGGCGGCUGUGAACCGUGUCAGAUGGGGGACCAAGCAGCACUAAGCGGUUUUGUCAAUGUGCCGUGAGGGUGCUUGUCUCGAGCCGAUUUUGUAAGGUAGCGCGUGUAAGGGUAUUUCGAACUAUGG